UUGUAGGAGAGUUUGAUCCUGGCUCAGAGUGAACGCUGGCGGCGUACCUAACACAUGCAAGUCGUGCGAGAAACC
Molecule: ribosomal RNA, 75 nt
Filed under: Candidatus Pacearchaeota archaeon
Lineage: Archaea; Nanobdellati
Description: partial 16S ribosomal RNA
Rfam family: Bacterial small subunit ribosomal RNA
Source: RNAcentral